Molecule: transfer RNA, 62 nt
Filed under: Gesiella jameensis
Lineage: Eukaryota; Metazoa; Annelida; Polychaeta; Phyllodocida; Polynoidae
Description: tRNA-Phe
Source: RNAcentral
GAUUUUAUAACUUAUUUUAAAGUAUAAUUCUGAAAAAAUUAAUAUGGUACUACCUAAAAUCA